AUACGGAGGGUGCAAGCGUUGUCCGGAAUCAUUGGGCGUAAAGAGUUCGUAGGUGGUAUGUUAAGUCCGGUGUUAAAGCCCGAAGCUCAACUUCGGUUCGGCACUGGAUACUGGCAAACUUGAAUGUGGUAGAGGUAAAGGGAAUUCCUGGUGUAGCGGUGAAAUGCGUAGAUAUCAGGAGGAACAUCGGUGGCGAAAGCGCUUUACUGGGCCAUUAUUGACACUGAGGAACGAAAGCCGGGGUAGCAAAUGGGAUUAGAUACCCCAGUAGUCCCGGCCGUAAACGAUGGAUACUAGGUGUUGCGGGUAUCGACCCCUGCAGUGCCAUAGCUAACGCGAUAAGUAUCCCGCCUGGGGAGUACGCACGCAAGUGUGAA
Molecule: ribosomal RNA, 377 nt
Filed under: uncultured bacterium
Lineage: Bacteria
Description: bacterial SSU rRNA
Rfam family: Bacterial small subunit ribosomal RNA
Source: RNAcentral